This 922-nucleotide ribosomal RNA is filed under the name uncultured Actinomycetes bacterium. Its description in RNAcentral is "bacterial SSU rRNA". It matches the Rfam family "Bacterial small subunit ribosomal RNA", at positions 8 to 934 of the family's 1533-position model. Lineage: Bacteria; Bacillati; Actinomycetota; Actinomycetes. The record is from RNAcentral.
AGAGUUUGAUCCUGGCUCAGGACGAACGCUGGCGGCGUGCUUAAUACAUGCAAGUCGAACGAGAAGCCACCGCUCCGUAAGGAGUGGUGGUGGAAAGUGGCGAACGGGUGAGUAACACGUGGGUAACGUGCCCCGGACACCGGGAUAACAGUGGGAAACCGCUGCUAAUACCGGAUGACCCUGCAGCGUCGCAUGAUGCAGCAGGCAAAUGGUCAGCCGGUCCGGGAUCGGCCCGCGGUGUAUCAGCUUGUUGGUGAGGUAACGGCCUACCAAGGCUUUGACGCAUAGCUGGCGUGAGAGCGCGACCAGCCACACUGGGACUGAGACACGGCCCAGACUCCUACGGGAGGCAGCAGUAGGGAAUCUUGCGCAAUGGGCGAAAGCCUGACGCAGCGACGCCGCGUGAGGGAUGAAUGCCUUCGGGUUGUAAACCUCUUUCAGCAGGGACGAAGCCCUUUGGGUGACGGUACCUGCAGAAGAAGCCCCGGCCAACUACGUGCCAGCAGCCGCGGUAAUACGUAGGGGGCAAGCGUUGUCCGGAUUUAUUGGGCGUAAAGAGCUCGUAGGCGGCUGGUCACGUCGGGUGUGAAAGCUCAGAGCUCAACUCUGAGAGGCCAUUCGAUACGGAUCAGCUAGAGGUAGGUAGGGGAAAGUGGAAUUCCCGGUGUAGCGGUGAAAUGCGCAGAUAUCAGGAGGAACACCGGUGGCGAAGGCGGCUUUCUGGGCCUUACCUGACGCUGAGGAGCGAAAGCUGGGGGAGCGAACAGGAUUAGAUACCCUGGUAGUCCCAGCCGUAAACGUUGAGUGCUAGGUGUGGGGAGGUCUUCAACCCUCUCUGUGCCGCAGCUAACGCAUUAAGCACUCCGCCUGGGAGUACGGCCGCAGGCUAAACUCAAGGAUUGACGGGACCCGCACAGCGGCG